RNAcentral lists this ribosomal RNA (425 nucleotides) under uncultured archaeon. RNAcentral's name for it is "partial 16S ribosomal RNA". It matches the Rfam family "Archaeal small subunit ribosomal RNA", at positions 323 to 746 of the family's 1478-position model. The record is from RNAcentral.
CUACGGGGGGCAGCAGUCGGGAAACUUCUACAAUGCGCGCAAGCGUGAUAGAGCAAGCCAGAGUGUUUCUCUAAUAAUUGAGCAACUUUUGUAAUAUGUAAAAAGUAUUACGAAUAAGGACUGGGUAAGACUGGUGCCAGCCGCCGCGGUAAUACCAGCAGUCCAAGUGGCAGCCACUUUUAUUGGGUCUAAAACAUCCGUAGCUUGCUUGGUAAGUCUUGCGUGAAAUCCGGCAUCUCAAGUGUCGGGCGUGCGCGAGAAACUGCCUUGCUAGAGACCGGGAGACGUAAGGAGUACGGACAGGGUAGUGGUCAAAUACGUUGAUCCUGUUUGGACUAACGAUAGCGAAGGCACCUUACGAGAACGGAUCUGACAGUGAGGGAUGAAGGCUAGGGGCGCAAAACGGAUUAGAUACCCCUGUAGUC